This 250-nucleotide ribosomal RNA is filed under the name uncultured bacterium. RNAcentral describes it as "partial 16S ribosomal RNA". It matches the Rfam family "Bacterial small subunit ribosomal RNA", at positions 524 to 772 of the family's 1533-position model. The record is from RNAcentral.
UACGUAGGCAGCGAGCGUUGUUCGGAGUUACUGGGCGUAAAGGGUGUGUAGGCGGUCUUCUAAGUUCGGUGUGAAAUCUCCCGGCUCAACUGGGAGGGUGCGCCGAAAACUGGAAGGCUUCGAGUGCGGGAUGGGAGAGUGGAAUUCCUGGUGUAGCGGUGAAAUGCGUAGAUAUCAGGAGGAACACCUGUGGUGUAGACGGCUCUCUGGACCGUAACUGACGCUGAGACACGAAAGCGUGGGUAGCAAA